Molecule: non-coding RNA, 32 nt
Filed under: Mus musculus (house mouse)
Lineage: Eukaryota; Metazoa; Chordata; Mammalia; Rodentia; Muridae
Source: RNAcentral
UGCCAGAUGCAACAGAUGCAAUUCAUUGGCUU